This 521-nucleotide ribosomal RNA is filed under the name Paenibacillus polymyxa. Its description in RNAcentral is "partial 23S ribosomal RNA". It matches the Rfam family "Bacterial large subunit ribosomal RNA", at positions 695 to 1215 of the family's 2925-position model. Lineage: Bacteria; Bacillati; Bacillota; Bacilli; Caryophanales; Paenibacillaceae. The record is from RNAcentral.
UUGAGUACGUGGACGUAGACCCGAAACCGGGUGAUCUACCCCUGUCCAGGGUGAAGGUGCGGUAACACGCACUGGAGGCCCGAACCCACGCAUGUUGAAAAAUGCGGGGAUGAGGUGGGGGUAGCGGAGAAAUUCCAAUCGAACCCGGAGAUAGCUGGUUCUCCCCGAAAUAGCUUUAGGGCUAGCCUCGGAAAGAAGAAUCGUGGAGGUAGAGCACUGAUUGGGUGCGGGGCCCGCAAGGGUUACCAAGCUCAGUCAAACUCCGAAUGCCAUAGAUUUAGUUCCGGGAGUCAGACAGUGAGUGCUAAGAUCCAUUGUCGAAAGGGAAACAGCCCAGACCAUCAGCUAAGGUCCCCAAGUGUGUGUUAAGUGGGAAAGGAUGUGGAGUUGCACAGACAACCAGGAUGUUGGCUUAGAAGCAGCCACCAUUGAAAGAGUGCGUAAUAGCUCACUGGUCGAGUGACUCUGCGCCGAAAAUGUAACGGGGCUAAACACACCACCGAAGCUAUGGCUUGAUGCUU